GCCUCGGUAGCGUAGUAGGCAGCGCGUUAGUCUCAUAAAUAAUUCAACAGAGUCAUCUGAAGGUCGUGAGUCCGAUCCUCAUUCGGGGCA
RNAcentral lists this transfer RNA (90 nucleotides) under Lingula anatina. It matches the Rfam family "tRNA". Rfam says of the family: Transfer RNA (tRNA) molecules are approximately 80 nucleotides in length. Lineage: Eukaryota; Metazoa; Brachiopoda; Lingulata; Lingulida; Lingulidae. The record is from Rfam by way of RNAcentral.